Molecule: unclassified non-coding RNA, 533 nt
Filed under: Hevea brasiliensis (rubber tree)
Lineage: Eukaryota; Viridiplantae; Streptophyta; Magnoliopsida; Malpighiales; Euphorbiaceae
Source: RNAcentral
AGAUUGGAACACCAUGGGCUGAUGGAACAGAAGGAGUGACACAAUGUCCUAUUGUGCCAGGGGAUACUUUUAUAUACAAAUUUGUUGUUGAUAGGGCUGGAACAUAUUUGUACCAUGCUCAUUAUGGUAUGCAAAGACAAGCAGGACUACAAGGAAUGAUGAGAGUAUCAUUACCUGAUGGAGUUUUAGAGCCAUUUUCAUAUGAUCAUGAUAGGAGUAUUCUUCUCACUGAUUGGUACCACAAGAGCACUUAUGAACAAGCAACUGGUCUUGCUUCAUUGCCUUUUUCUUGGGUUGGAGAACCUCAGUCAAUCUUGAUUCAUGGAAGAGGAAGAUUCAAUUGUUCUAUUCCGACCAUAGAUCCUACUCUUUGUAAUGCUACAAAUCCUCAAUGUACACCUUAUUCAAUGACUGUGGUUCCUGGCAAGACUUAUAGGCUUAGAAUUGGCAGCUUGACUGCUCUUUCAGCUCUAAGUUUUGAAAUUGAGGGGCAUAACAUGACAGUUGUUGAGGCAGACGGUCACUAUGUGGAG